Molecule: ribosomal RNA, 433 nt
Filed under: uncultured bacterium
Lineage: Bacteria
Description: partial 16S ribosomal RNA
Rfam family: Bacterial small subunit ribosomal RNA
Source: RNAcentral
AACGAACGCUGGCGGCAUGCCUAACACAUGCAAGUCGAACGAGACCUUCGGGUCUAGUGGCGCACGGGUGCGUAACGCGUGGGAACCUGCCCUUAGGUUCGGAAUAACUCCCCGAAAGGGGUGCUAAUACCGGAUAAUGUCUUCGGACCAAAGAUUUAUCGCCUUUGGAUGGGCCCGCGUUGGAUUAGCUAGUUGGUAGGGUAAAAGCCUACCAAGGCGACGAUCCAUAGCUGGUCUGAGAGGAGGAUCAGCCACACUGGGACUGAGACACGGCCCAGACUCCUACGGGAGGCAGCAGUGGGGAAUAUUGGACAAUGGGCGAAGGCCUGAUACAGCAAUGCCGCGUGAGUGAUGAAGGCCUUAGGGUUGUAAAGCUCUUUUAGCCGGGAUGAUAAUGACAGUACCGGGAGAAUAAGCUCCGGCUAACUCCGUG